RNAcentral lists this ribosomal RNA (1357 nucleotides) under Colletotrichum gloeosporioides. RNAcentral's name for it is "eukaryotic LSU rRNA". It matches the Rfam family "Eukaryotic large subunit ribosomal RNA", at positions 15 to 1404 of the family's 3401-position model. The record is from RNAcentral. Lineage: Eukaryota; Fungi; Ascomycota; Sordariomycetes; Glomerellales; Glomerellaceae.
GUAGGAAUACCCGCUGAACUUAAGCAUAUCAAUAAGCGGAGGAAAAGAAACCAACAGGGAUUGCCUCAGUAACGGCGAGUGAAGCGGCAACAGCUCAAAUUUGAAAUCUGGCCCUAGGCCCGAGUUGUAAUUUGCAGAGGAUGCUUUUGGUGCGGUGCCUUCCAAGUUCCCUAGAACGGGACGCCAGAGAGGGUGAGAGCCCCGUACAGUUGGACACCAAGCCUUUGUAAAGCUCCUUCGACGAGUCGAGUAGUUUGGGAAUGCUGCUCAAAAUGGGAGGUAUAUUUCUUCUAAAGCUAAAUACCGGCCAGAGACCGAUAGCGCACAAGUAGAGUGAUCGAAAGAUGAAAAGCACUUUGAAAAGAGGGUUAAACAGCACGUGAAAUUGUUAAAAGGGAAGCGCUUGUGACCAGACUUGCGUCCGGUGAAUCACCCAGCUCUCGCGGCUGGGGCACUUCGCCGGCUCAGGCCAGCAUCAGCUCGCUGUCGGGGACAAAAGCUUCAGGAACGUAGCUCUCUUCGGGGAGUGUUAUAGCCUGUUGCACAAUACCCUUCGGCGGGCUGAGGUACGCGCUCCGCAAGGAUGCUGGCAUAAUGGUCAUCAGCGACCCGUCUUGAAACACGGACCAAGGAGUCAACCUUAUGUGCGAGUGUUCGGGUGUCAAACCCCUACGCGUAAUGAAAGUGAACGCAGGUGAGAGCUUCGGCGCAUCAUCGACCGAUCCUGAUGUUCUCGGAUGGAUUUGAGUAAGAGCAUAUAGGGUUGGACCCGAAAGAAGGUGAACUAUGCGUGUAUAGGGUGAAGCCAGAGGAAACUCUGGUGGAGGCUCGCAGCGGUUCUGACGUGCAAAUCGAUCGUCAAAUAUGCGCAUGGGGGCGAAAGACUAAUCGAACCUUCUAGUAGCUGGUUUCCGCCGAAGUUUCCCUCAGGAUAGCAGUGUUGAACUCAGUUUUAUGAGGUAAAGCGAAUGAUUAGGGACUCGGGGGCGCUAUAUUGCCUUCAUCCAUUCUCAAACUUUAAAUAUGUAAGAAGCCCUUGUUGCUUAAUUGAACGUGGGCAUUCGAAUGUAUCAACACUAGUGGGCCAUUUUUGGUAAGCAGAACUGGCGAUGCGGGAUGAACCGAACGCGAGGUUAAGGUGCCAGAGUAGACGCUCAUCAGACACCACAAAAGGUGUUAGUACAUCUUGACAGCAGGACGGUGGCCAUGGAAGUCGGAAUCCGCUAAGGACUGUGUAACAACUCACCUGCCGAAUGUACUAGCCCUGAAAAUGGAUGGCGCUCAAGCGUCUCACCCAUACCUCGCCCUCAGUGUAGAAACGAUGCGCUGAGGAGUAGGCGGACGUGGAGGUCGUGAC